GUGCCAGCAGCCGCGGUAAUACGUAGGGUGCGAGCGUUGUCCGGAUUUAUUGGGCGUAAAGAGCUCGUAGGCGGUUUGUCGCGUCGCUCGUGAAAACUGGAGGCUUAACCUUCAGCUUGCGGUCGAUACGGGCAGACUUGAGUUCGGUAGGGGAGACUGGAAUUCCUGGUGUAGCGGUGAAAUGCGCAGAUAUCAGGAGGAACACCGGUGGCGAAGGCGGGUCUCUGGGCCGAUACUGACGCUGAGGAGCGAAAGCGUGGGGAGCGAACAGGAUUAGAUACCCUGGUAGUCC
RNAcentral lists this ribosomal RNA (292 nucleotides) under uncultured microorganism. RNAcentral's name for it is "partial 16S ribosomal RNA". It matches the Rfam family "Bacterial small subunit ribosomal RNA", at positions 505 to 796 of the family's 1533-position model. The record is from RNAcentral.